Molecule: ribosomal RNA, 450 nt
Filed under: uncultured bacterium
Lineage: Bacteria
Description: bacterial SSU rRNA
Rfam family: Bacterial small subunit ribosomal RNA
Source: RNAcentral
GUAGGGAAUCUUCCACAAUGGACGAAAGUCUGAUGGAGCAAUGCCGCGUGAGUGAAGAAGGGUUUCGGCUCGUAAAACUCUGUUGUUGAAGAAGAACGGGUGUCAGAGUAACUGUUGACAUCGUGACGGUAUUCAACCAGAAAGCCACGGCUAACUACGUGCCAGCAGCCGCGGUAAUACGUAGGUGGCAAGCGUUGUCCGGAUUUAUUGGGCGUAAAGCGAGCGCAGGCGGUUAUUUAAGUCUGAUGUGAAAGCCUUCGGCUUAACCGAAGAAGUGCAUCGGAAACUGGGUAACUUGAGUGCAGAAGAGGACAGUGGAACUCCAUGUGUAGCGGUGGAAUGCGUAGAUAUAUGGAAGAACACCAGUGGCGAAGGCGGCUGUCUAGUCUGUAACUGACGCUGAGGCUCGAAAGCAUGGGUAGCGAACAGGAUUAGAAACCCUAGUAGUCC